RNAcentral lists this ribosomal RNA (242 nucleotides) under uncultured Bacillus sp. Its description in RNAcentral is "partial 16S ribosomal RNA". It matches the Rfam family "Bacterial small subunit ribosomal RNA", at positions 99 to 334 of the family's 1533-position model. Lineage: Bacteria; Bacillati; Bacillota; Bacilli; Caryophanales; Bacillaceae. The record is from RNAcentral.
CGGACGGGUGAGUAACACGUGGGUAACCUGCCCAUAAGACUGGGAUAACUCCGGGAAACCGGGGCUAAUACCGGAUAAUAUUUUGAACUGCAUGGUUCGAAAUUGAAAGGCGGCUUCGGCUGUCACUUAUGGAUGGACCCGCGUCGCAUUAGCUAGUUGGUGAGGUAACGGCUCACCAAGGCAACGAUGCGUAGCCGACCUGAGAGGGUGAUCGGCCACACUGGGACUGAGACACGGCCCAG